RNAcentral lists this transfer RNA (72 nucleotides) under Ictidomys tridecemlineatus (thirteen-lined ground squirrel). RNAcentral describes it as "Spermophilus tridecemlineatus (thirteen-lined ground squirrel) tRNA". It matches the Rfam family "tRNA". Rfam says of the family: Transfer RNA (tRNA) molecules are approximately 80 nucleotides in length. Their secondary structure includes four short double-helical elements and three loops (D, anti-codon, and T loops). Lineage: Eukaryota; Metazoa; Chordata; Mammalia; Rodentia; Sciuridae. The record is from Rfam by way of RNAcentral.
GGGGGUGUAGCUCAGUUUCAAAGCACUUGCUUAACAUGCUGGAGACCUUGGGUUCAAUCCCCAGUCCCCCUC